GAUGAACGCUAGCGGCAGGCCUAACACAUGCAAGUCGAGGGGCAGCACAGAAACAGCAAUGUUUUGGUGGCGACCGGCGGACGGGUGCGUAACGCGUAUGCAACCUACCUUUAACAGGGGGAUAACGGAGAGAAAUUUCCACUAAUACCCCAUAACAUCGAUCAAGGCAUCUUGAUUGGUUGAAAACUCCGGUGGUUAAAGAUGGGCAUGCGUUGUAUUAGGUAGUUGGUGAGGUAAUGGCUCACCAAGCCGACGAUACAUAGGGGGACUGAGAGGGUAGCACCCCACACGGGUGCUGGGACGCGGACCAGACUCCUACGGGAGGCAGCAGUGAGGAAUAUUAGUCAAUGGGGGCAACCCUGAACCAGCCAUGCCGCGUGCAGGAAGACGGCUCUAUGAGUUGUAAACUGCUUUUAAACAGGGAUAAAGCACAGUAUGUAUACUGUGUUGAAGGUACUGUAAGAAUAAGGAUCGGCUAACUCCGUGCCAGCCGCCGCAGUAA
Molecule: ribosomal RNA, 502 nt
Filed under: uncultured bacterium
Lineage: Bacteria
Description: partial 16S ribosomal RNA
Rfam family: Bacterial small subunit ribosomal RNA
Source: RNAcentral